RNAcentral lists this ribosomal RNA (403 nucleotides) under uncultured bacterium. RNAcentral's name for it is "partial 16S ribosomal RNA". It matches the Rfam family "Bacterial small subunit ribosomal RNA", at positions 28 to 526 of the family's 1533-position model. The record is from RNAcentral.
GACGAACGCUGGCGGCGUGCCUAAUACAUGCAAGUCGAACGCAGUGGGGACGGGUGAGUAACACGUGGGUAACCUCCCAUCAGAGGGGAUAACACUUGGAAACAGGUGCUAAACCGAUACUGAUGGAUGGACCCUCGGUGCAUUAGCUAGUUGGUGUGGUAACGGCUCACCAAGGCCACGAUGCAUAGCCGACCUGAGAGGGUGAUCGGCCACAGUGGGACUGAGACACGGACCAGAAUCCAACGGGAGGCAGCAGUAGGGAAUCUUCGGCAAUGGGCGAAAGGCUGACCGAGCCACGCCGCGUGAGUGAAGAAGGUUUUCGGAUCGUAAUACUCUGUUGUUAGAGAAACGGUAUCAAACAAGAAAGCACCGGCUAACUACGUGCCAGCAGCCGCGGUAAUUC